RNAcentral lists this unclassified non-coding RNA (419 nucleotides) under Hevea brasiliensis (rubber tree). The record is from RNAcentral. Lineage: Eukaryota; Viridiplantae; Streptophyta; Magnoliopsida; Malpighiales; Euphorbiaceae.
GGGGUGUGUGACGGGGGAAGGGCAUGGUGCUGCUAGUAUUUGAAUUCCUUCUCUUGUACUAUGAGGCUUCUAAACUAUUGGUCCAAUGACAUCUACUCCUAAAUGCCUAAUUGCUACUCUUCUCGUCAAGGAGAAAUUUUAGAUUGUUAAAAGAAAAUUUGGUAGUUGUAAUAUUUUGGGAUUCACUCAUGUAUACGUAUUUAAUUAUUAUUGAUUUAUCAUUUCAUGUGGACUAAUUUAUAUGGAAUCACAGGUAUCAUAUAAUUUCUUUUCUCCAUUUCAAGGGCAAGAGGGGUUGAUUUUCAUCUCUCGCUGCAUCUUUGAAAGAGUGGAACAAAGUCUAUGUGACUAACCUGGCUACUAAAAAAUGAAAAUGAUGAAACUUACCAAAUAGAUACAGUUCUCCAAGCAGAGUGGAA